RNAcentral lists this ribosomal RNA (394 nucleotides) under uncultured bacterium. Its description in RNAcentral is "partial 16S ribosomal RNA". It matches the Rfam family "Bacterial small subunit ribosomal RNA", at positions 523 to 918 of the family's 1533-position model. The record is from RNAcentral.
AUACGUAGGGGGCAAGCGUUAUCCGGAAUCAUUGGGCGUAAAGAGUACGUAGGUGGUUUUCUAAGCGGGAGGUCUAAGGCUGCGGCUUAACUGCAGUUCGCCUCUCGAACUGGGAGACUUGAGUGCUGGAGAGGAAAGUGGAAUUCCUAGUGUAGCGGUGAAAUGCGUAGAUAUUAGGAGGAACACCAGUGGCGAAGGCGACUUUCGGGACAGUAACUGACACGGAGGUACGAAAGCGUGGGGAGCAAACAGGAUUAGAUACCCUGGUAGUCCACGCCGUAAACGAUGAGCACUAGGUGUCGGGGUCGCAAGACUUCGGUGCCGCAGUUAACGCAUUAAGUGCUCCGCCUGGGGAGUACGUUCGCAAGAAUAAAACUCAAAUGAAUUGACGGGG